AUAUUUGACACUGGGCGAAAGCGUGAUCCAGCCAAUCAGCGUGUGGGAAGAAGGUCUUAGGAUUGUAAAGCACUUUAAGUUGGGAGGAAGGGCAGUAAGUUAAUACCUUGCUGUUUUGACGUUAGCGACAGAAUAAGCACCGGCUAACUUCGUGCCAGCGGCCGCGGUAAUCCGAAGGGUGCAAGCGUUAAUCGUAUUUACUGGGCGUAAAGCACGCGUAAGUGGUUUGUUAAGUUGGAGAUGAAAGCACCGGACUGGACCUGGAAACUACUUUCAAAACUAGCAAGCUAGAGUAUGGCAGAGGGUGGUGGAAUUUCCUGUGUAGCGGAGAAGUGCGUAGAUAUAGGAAGGAACACCAGUGGCGAAGGCGACCACCUGAGCUAAUACUGACACUGAGCUGAGAAAGCGUGGGGAGCAAACAG
This 422-nucleotide ribosomal RNA is filed under the name uncultured bacterium. RNAcentral's name for it is "partial 16S ribosomal RNA". It matches the Rfam family "Bacterial small subunit ribosomal RNA", at positions 361 to 775 of the family's 1533-position model. The record is from RNAcentral.